Molecule: ribosomal RNA, 213 nt
Filed under: Triticum aestivum (bread wheat)
Lineage: Eukaryota; Viridiplantae; Streptophyta; Magnoliopsida; Poales; Poaceae
Description: partial small subunit ribosomal RNA
Source: RNAcentral
AUGGUUAGUUGGCCGGACAUUUGUAAACCCAAAGACCAGGGGGGUCUUGGGAUUCUGUCCUCCCGUCGCAUGAACAUCGCCCUCCUGACCCGGUGGUUGUGGCGUAUUGCCAAUGGAGACGGAGGGUUGUGGAUCACCAUUAUCCGCAACAAAUACCUCCAUGGACAGCCUCUGGCUUUCUGUCAGCGUUCGGGCGGAUCACAGUUUUGGUAG